RNAcentral lists this long non-coding RNA (2544 nucleotides) under Homo sapiens (human). RNAcentral's name for it is "HSALNT0060284". The record is from RNAcentral. Lineage: Eukaryota; Metazoa; Chordata; Mammalia; Primates; Hominidae.
ACAGGUGGGGAGAGACUGGCUCCUUGGAUGCUGUUUGAGCGCCUGGAUUCACCUGCACCUGAAGCAAAGUGCUACACCCAGAAAACAAUGUCCACUGAAGCCAGUUUGAAGCUGGUGCUCUGUUGUCUACAACCCAAGAAUGCUAGCUGACAGGGAUGAGUUGAGGGUGCGUGGGCACAGAGCACCACCAGGACCGGGACCCAACUCGCUGACAUCAUCACGGUGGGAAACAGGAACUCCUCGACCUCAGGCCAAAAGAUCCAUCUGUUAGAGCCAUCGGGCCAGCCAAGGCUGCUCAGAGAGGCAGGUGGAGGCCAUGUCAUUUCUAACUGACCCGGGAAGAACCAUGUGGUGUGCAGGGUGGGGGUCCCUGCCCACCCAUACUGGGCAUCAUCCAUGCUUAGUGAUCACAUCCAGCUCAGCAACCACAAGCACAGAGGCCAGCGUGUCCCGCGUGGGACACAACGCAGGGUCCUUGCUGCUCUAGCCGCUGCUCAGGCCACUUAUGCUGGCGCCCUAAGAAGUCUCCCUCCUCACAUGUCCUCCCUGGAGUUUAAGCCGAGCUCUCCCCUCCAGUGGACAUCCUCCUUCCCAGCCUCAUGAAAGAUUCAAGACAGAUAGAUAGUUUUUGUUUUUUUUUUUUGAGACGGGGUUUCGCUCUUGUUGUCCAGGCUGGAGUGCAAUGGCGCAAUCUUGGUUCACUGCAACCUCCACCUCCCAGGUUCAAGUGAUUCUCCUGCCUCAGCCUCCCGAGUAGCUAAAGCUGAGAUUACAGGCAUGCGCCACCACACCCGGGUAAUUUUUUGUAUUUUUAGUAGAGACGGGGUUUCUCCAUGUUAGUCAGGCUGGUCUCCACCUCAGGUGAUCCGCCUACCUUGGCCUCCCAAAGUGCUGGGAUUACAGGCGUGAGCCACCACGCCCGACCUGAUGCAAAAUAUUUUUUAAAAGCUCUUCCUUAAAAAUCUGUGUAGGAUGGACUUACUGCAACCUAGCAGGCACCUAAAGAGACCAGGGAUAAAAGUCGACCCACGAGAGCCCCAGGAGAAAGGACAACUGCUGCCGAGGCAGAAAGCCUCCAGGACAGCCUGUGGGAGCUGUUGAAAGGCAAUGCAGGCAGCAAACACCACAGGACAGAGGGGAGGGCUGCCGCAGUAGUGUGGGCUUGAAGACCGUUCCCCUGUGGGUCCCUCCCAGCACAGGGGAACAGGAAGACAUGGUGUGGUCCCUUCUUCACAGAGCGAGCAGUCUGUGGAGAAGACGGGGCUCAUCGGGCAAUGCCUCCACUGGGGCCAGAAAAGGCUUCCCCUGGCUGGACCUGCAGGACGAGGGUCAGGGCUCAGCCAGGUGGCCAGCCCUCAGCGUCUGCUCCCACCUCCUUCUGUGUCCCAGACCCUAAGGCAGAGGCUGGGAAACUAACAAACUACAUUCCCCAGCCUCCUUCACAACUGAGUUCAAAUUAGGUUCCGCCAAUAAUGUGCACUUUUGUGAUGUGGAAGGCAAAUGGAAGAGAGACACCAUCUCCACGUGACUUUGGGGGAUUUUUCUGCUGGUAAGUGAGGCAUGGAGUUGGUGGGUCUCUCUGCAAGGACAAUCCAGGGUCCUGGCUUCAGCUUCUCGGGUGUACAACAGCAGCUGCAGCAGUUGAAGUGGCUUCUAAUCCCUGGAUCAUAGCUGAGAAGCUACAUUCUUUUUUUUUCUUUUCUUUUUUGAGAUAGUGUCUUGCUCUGUCACCCAGGCUGGAGUGCAGUGGUGCAAUCGCAGCUCACUGUAGCUUUGACCUCUCAGGCUCAAGCAAUCCUCCCGCCUCAGCCUCCCGAGUAGCUGGGACCACAGGUGUAUGGGUCACCACACCUGGCUAAUUUUUUUUUUUUAAUUUUCUGUAGAAACAGAGUUUCACUAUAUUGACAACACAGGUCUCAAACUCCUGGGCUUAAGGGAUCUUCCCACCUCGGCCUCCCAAAGUGCUGGGAUUACAGGGCUGAGCCACUGCACCUGGCCUCAGAUGCUAUGUCCUUAAACCAGCAGUUCCCAUGGUGAUCUCAUGACUCCCCUACUCCCCAAUUACAGCAGAGGUCUGGUGGCAGAUCCCCUGACAAGCCAGUUCCGCAGUGUUUUUCUGGGACCAUCUUCAGCCUCGACACAGUCCACCAGCCUCUCCACAGGUAUUGAAGCACCCAAGUCCCUGUAUUAAAUCUCCUCCCACUUAAAACACCUAGAGUGACUUCUGUUUCCUACAACCAAUACAUCAGGCAAAGAGGGCACCAAAUAAUGUUCCAGAUGAAGCCACUGGCAUGAGUGUAAUCACCUAGCCAAGGAUGGAGGAGGGCAGGGUAGAGGCAGGGGCGGGGGCCUAGUUCGGAGUUACUGCAUGAUGUGAUGAGAGCAGGAACUAAGGCAAGGACACUGGAUGGAGCAGCAGGAAGGAUGGGGGUGAGGAAUAAGCCAGACUCGGCCACUGCUUGCCUGAGGCCAUGAAGAAUGACCUUGAGGUCUCAACCCAGGCAGAUGGGACCAAGGAGAUUCCAUGUAUCUAAGGAGGUAAAU